Halichondria panicea is the source of this 706-nucleotide long non-coding RNA. RefSeq lists it as uncharacterized. The record is from RefSeq and is a predicted model, not a curated record. Lineage: Eukaryota; Metazoa; Porifera; Demospongiae; Suberitida; Halichondriidae. The transcript is spliced from 3 exons.
UUGAGCGAGCUCCGCCCUUAGCCUCGAUUCGCAGGCCAAGGCCUUGUGAAGCUAUUACGCCCUGUUUUGUCCACUAGAACUUGAGCAAAAUCACAAUUCGAGAAUGUUGACUUACAGCUUUUUAAACCUUAUACUUCUAGUAAGUAUAACAGUAGCACAAGAUCAAUGUCCUCUUGGGACCUACUGUGGUAGAGCAUGCUGCUUACCACUUAUUCAGCGAUGUUGUGCAACGUCUAAUGACCCUACUAAUCCUUUGCUCACAUGCUGUACGGCUGACUCUACCAACGUUGUUGCAACUUGUGGCACUUUUCAAUGCCCCAACAGCCUACCACCUGAGGAAGUGUACGACACAGCAGUGACAGUCACUACCGGUGAAGCAGCGCAGUUACGAAACCAGUGUUGCAUGUACUUCAGAGAAGGAUGUUGCAGCCAGAGUGAAAACAACUUUCUAGAUUUGCUAUACAAGUUGGCACUUGGUCUGGGAAUUGGACUCGGUGGUUUGCUAGUGAUCAUCCUGAUACUGGUGGUGUGUUGUUGCUGCUGUGCAGUAUGUAGUUAGCCGUAGCUGAGCUGUUUUAUGUUAUCCUGAUCCUGUGGUGUACAUGUUGCUGCUAAUGUUUUUAAAGUGUAGUUGUAUUAGUAUAUUUAGAGUACAUACGACAAUAAUUGACUAUGUUUUGUGUCAAAAAUUAGUUUCUCAUGUUUA